RNAcentral lists this non-coding RNA (21 nucleotides) under Caenorhabditis elegans. The record is from RNAcentral. Lineage: Eukaryota; Metazoa; Nematoda; Chromadorea; Rhabditida; Rhabditidae.
UCGGAUAACUGGAAACCCACA